Long non-coding RNA from Populus euphratica (Euphrates poplar), 1501 nucleotides. RefSeq lists it as uncharacterized. Lineage: Eukaryota; Viridiplantae; Streptophyta; Magnoliopsida; Malpighiales; Salicaceae. The transcript has 3 exons. The record is from RefSeq and is a predicted model, not a curated record.
AAGCAUGAAAUUAUAUCACAUGAUGUUGUUCAGUAGUAUAUGGAGAAUGACCAGCAAUAAAUAGGAUGAACAGAUGCAAGAGGAAGAACAAGGAAAUAUAUGCAAAAGGAAUAACAAGGAAAUAUAGUUUUAAAAUCAUGAUUUGUAUCAACUGAUGCACCUUUCUGUCUCUUAUUCGAUAAGAUCAACUUGCCACAAAGAUAACAUUGAAUAUAUGAGUAAAAUCAUACAUCACACAUGACUAAUAACAAGGAUUUCAUCGUGUAAUAGACAACAUGAAAUAGCAACAAAAAGUUGAUGGCACAUACUUCACUAACUCUAUCACAUCCAACUCUCAUUGAAUUGCUAGUUUAGAUAACAAAAACAUAAAGGGAAACCUAUCAAUGUACCCUUAUAUGAUAUAUGUUUACUCAAUUAUAUCCUUGUGAAAAAAAUAAUCAAUUGCAACAUUUAGUUUAUCCAUGUUCUCUAAUAUGUUCAUUCAAUCAAUUUUAUUUUUUUUUUUAAAUUAAUAAUCAGAGGCAUUGCACAUGGUAACUUUCUUAUGAAUCAACGUAAAUUCCCUUUCAAAAGUAUGUAAAAGGAAACAGCAAAGGCUUUAAAUGAGCAAAUUGUAACAGAAAAAAAUUGAUAGAUGAGCAUACAUCACAGAAAAUAUGGAUAUCUAAAGGUUAUGACUCAGAUUUUUUUCAUACAAGUGUACAAUUGAGAAGAUGUAUAUUAUAUAAGGUGGCAUUUGUUUUAUGUGAAACAUAAUAUGUUUUCCUGAUUUUCUCAUGUUUGUUUGGCAUAAAGUAUUUUAUAAGGAAAAUUGGUGAAUGAAAAAUAUUUGAUAUUCCUAUUCUCAAUCGACAAGGCCCUCCAAAUGCCAUGAUUUUCUUUUUUUUGUUCACUUUUCGAUCAACCUAUAAACUUGGUUCAUUUCUUAGACAAUAUUUUCAGCAUAAGAAGUUGCAUAAAAUAUUUUACUAAUAGUGAUCAUCUCACAAUAUCAUACAAAUAUUUCUACCACCAUCACCACCCCACUGCCAGCACCCAACACACCACCACCUUCAAAACUGCCUCCACCGUUCCACCAGCACGACCCUAUCACUCUAUCACCAACACCAGUGUCACCACACCACCACCACCUCAUAAAUGCACUUACAAGACAUUAAUCCGUUUAGAACAAGGAUGAUCUGCCCAUCCUAAGUAUUUCCCAAUCUUUCAUGUAGAAAAAGAAUUCUGAAGAUCUUCACUACCUUUAUGAGGAUGGAGAGAAGGAAAACAUUUGGGGGGAAGGAAGUUACCUUUCAUUGUUUGGGAAAGAAGGAAGAUGAGAGGAAAGGAAGUGGAGGGCAUAUACUUCCAUGGACUCACCAAAUAAGUGCAAGGAAAAUAAAUACAAUUACUCAAUUUACCUCAUGAUAAAUUUUCUUCCAUCACAAAAAUAAAGGAUGAGAAUGUAAUCUCAUAAACUUACCCUACACUUCCAUUCCCUUCAAAAAAAAUUUCUAUGCAA